Molecule: ribosomal RNA, 516 nt
Filed under: uncultured bacterium
Lineage: Bacteria
Description: bacterial SSU rRNA
Rfam family: Bacterial small subunit ribosomal RNA
Source: RNAcentral
GCAGUCGCACGAAGAACGUUCACCUUCGGGUGAAUCAGUAAAGUGGCGCACGGGNGNAGAUAACGCGCUGGAUAAUCUGCCUUCAAGACGGGAAUAACAUUGCGAAAGCGAUGCUAAUACCGGAUAAGCUCACGAUUUGAUUGGUUGUGGGAAAAGAUGGCCUAGUCUAUGCUAUCGCUUGAAGAUGAGUCCGCGUACCAUUAGCUUGUUGGUAGGGUAAUGGCCUACCAAGGCAGCGAUGGUUAGCUGGCCUGAGAGGGCGGCCAGCCACACUGGGACUGAGACACGGCCCAGACUCCUACGGGAGGCAGCAGUGGGGAAUAUUGCGCAAUGGGGGAAACCCUGACGCAGCGACGCCGUGUGAGUGAUGAAGGUUUUCGGAUCGUAAAGCUCUGCCAGGUGGGAAGAAUAAGGUCUGUGAAAAUAUUGCAGUCCGAUGACGGUACCACCAGAGGAAGCACCGGCUAACUCCGUGCCAGCAGCCGCGGUAAUACGGAGGGUGCAAGCGUUGUUCGG